Molecule: long non-coding RNA, 7257 nt
Organism: Apis laboriosa (Himalayan honeybee)
Lineage: Eukaryota; Metazoa; Arthropoda; Insecta; Hymenoptera; Apidae
Exons: 3
Source: RefSeq, a predicted model, not a curated record
UCAAUAAUAAUCACACAUAUCAAACAUCAUAAAUCACAUUUUAUGCAUCAUAAAUUAUUAAAUAAAUUCAUAUAUGAUAGAAUCAUAUAUCGAUUUCUCUAACAAUUGCAGAAUCGCAAAAAAAUUGGUAAUGUUUUUAAGAUUAAAUAAAAUAGUAUCGCAAAAAAGGUUAGGACGAUGUUUUGUCUAUGGUUUCUUUAACUAGGGUUUCUUUCAGUGUCGAGAAUCGAAAGCCACAUAAGGGAAUUUGUACAGAAAGUUGAAAUUUUCAGUUAGGGACCUAAGCGGAUGGGGUUCCACAUGGUCGCUCAGCUUGAACCGUCCACCGGCUGAAUACUAUCGUGACGUCACUCGCUACGGUCACUGCCUGAAUUAUUCAGUAUUUCUUCGUUUCUACUUGUACACACUAGCUACCUCUUUGUACCUAAUAGCCAUCUACUAUUCAGAUAAUAUUAUUAUACAGGGUAAAAUGAAUAAAGAAAUCCCCUAGGACAGAAACGUCUGAGGGAAGUCCUGUCUUAAGCGACAAGAGGGUGCAACUCAUGGGGUGCAAGAUUCUAUAUAGUAUAUGUAUGAAAAAAUCAAUUAAGAAGAUUUAGAAUAAAACUUGUUAUUUUAAGUCUUCUUUUUAAUCAAUUUUUGCAACAAAUAUUAACUUUUCAAGGAAUUAUAUAACAUAUUAAUUUUAUCCUUCGAAAUCGUAAAACUGUACGAAUAUUUUCCAAAUGAAUAUAUGUACAUAUAAAACAAAGAAAAAAUUUAGAAGAGGUAAAUAUAAUUACAAAUAGAAAAUUAAACUCGUAAAAUGAAACAGAUUGCGAUAGCACCGAUAAUAAAAAUUAAAAUUAAAAAAAUUAAAAUCCAAAAAAAGUAAAGUUAUUAAGGACGAUUUUCAAAAGACUUAUGCCUGAAUGUGAAACGAAAUCCAGUGCAACUGAUUUAAAACGCAUGAUCACGGAGGAAUCAGAAACGCGAUACGAUCUAGAAAAUAUGUGACAGAAUGAAGCCGUGUAAGAAUAAGAAAGAGAGGAAGACAAAUGUGCGAGGAGGAGAGACAAAUGCAUUAAGGGGUGAUUCCAAAAUGGCGCACCUCCGCCGUCGAAUUUAUUUUUGGUGCAUUCCAGUCAAACGAAUACAGAGAAAGGUCCAACUAACUGGUAACGUGCAGACGAUGUUUCGCUAGGAAGAUUCGUUCCCAUCUUCUUAUUGGAAUACUCAAAUUAUUUUUCUUUUUUCCUUUUUCCUCCUCUCUCUCUUUUUCUCGUCUCUCGCCAUGCUCUCUUUCCAUUUCCGCCGUGGUUACCGCUGCAUAUUCGAACACCGCGAAAGAAAUCUUCGCUACGAUGUUUCUUUUCCCGCCUCUCCGAAUAUUACCGAUGAAGAACGAUCGUGACCGAACGUGCACGUUUCGUCGAUUUUAUCGUUCAGUUAAUUAUUAAAACAAAUAACACCAGUAGUAAUCGUACUCGUUCAUUGACGUUUUUCUUACGGCGAGAUUUUUUACUGAUAAAAUACACAUGGGGAACCGUUGGAAACAAGAAGUACUAUAAUUAAUAUUCCGAUUAUUGUUCCGCGGAAAAAGUACAUCAAUCGAAGCUCGUUAAAUAAGAGGACUCUUGGAAAUAUGUGUUACUGUGUUUACUGUGUGAAUUGAAGAAGAGGUUAUGUUGAAGCUAGUUUUGUGUUUGAUUGAUCUUGUAUAAUAUUGGGUUAAAUAUAAUAAAGAGAUUGAAGAAUAAGAUUCGAGUAUAUUGAAAAUAAAUAAAUAUUUAUGGAUAAUAUCAAUAUUUAAAAAACAUCUAUUACUUAUUAAUUUAAUUCUACAACUUACUUGAAUUCUAACCUUACAUUCUAAUCUUACAAAACAUUUUAAAUCUAUUUUAUGGAAAUCUUAAAAUUUAUAAAUUGUUAAAUUUUUUAGAUUUAAUAGAAUUUUAAAUUCCUAACUUUGCUUUUAAAUUUUAAAAUUAAAAUUGAUUAUCUCCGAUAUUCUGUCCAAAUCAUUCUUCAAUUUCCGAAGAGGGUACCGGGACGAUGUUCGAAUUAAAGUGUAUAAUUACGUGUUUUGUAUACUAGAUGAGCCUGUAUAUUCAUGGUGCAUCAAAUCAUCGAAUUUGCACAUCGGUAUGAUACUCGCGUAAAAUGUAAUUUCCACGGACAAUAAGAUGUAGCGACACGCGGAUGUGGAAUACUAAUCACGAGGUCGAUGAAUCAUAAAAUCACCGGUUCCUUUACUGAGGAUCGAUGAAUUUAAACAUCUAAACAUAAUGAUAACAUUUUCCAUCGGAAUUUUCUUUUUUUAGAGAGCGAAACACAUAGCUCUCUGCUUCUUACGCAAUCUUUUAGUCUAGUUUUUAGUAUUAAAAAAGAAAGAAAAAUGGAACAAAGAAAAAAAAUUGUUUAAAUAUAUUUAAAGAAAAAAUUUUUUUUCUAAGUAUUUUUAGAUUUUAACAAAAUCUGUAUAUCAAACUAAUAAUGAUGUAAUAUUAUAAAUUUUACACAUAUGAAAAUAAAAUCGAAGUUUCAUUUCUAAGAAUGAAAAUAAUGAAAUAACGAAGAAUAAAAAAACAAGAGCAAUUAAAAUGACAGUAUUCAGGAUUCUAGAGAAAGUUAUGAUAGGAAUAUGAUAAGAUUAAAAAAUAAAUAAAAACGAAAAGAUAAAAAAAAUGAACGGAAGUAUGGUUAAUAGUGUGAAUUAUUUAAAGAAUGCUAAGAAGCUAAGAAGAUCAGAUAUAAACUGUGAGAAUGAUUUUCAAUAACAUUAUGAUAUUUUAUCUGACUCAUAUGUAAAUAAAAUCUAAACAGUUACAGAUAAUUUAACAUGUAACACUUUCGUUGUUUUAAUCAAUUAAUUAACCAAUGAAUUGAUUGGUAUAUGUUACAAAUUGCUAAAAAAAGAACCGUUUUGAAAACUAAACGAUAUCGAAGGAUACAUGUAUGGUAAAAACAUAUCAGUUAGCAAUAAUUGAAAGUAAAUUGAAUUCUCAGACGAUGAAAAGUUUCGAGUAAUUAACUGAUUGCUCCACGCAUCUGUUUUAUAAUAAAAAUUGGAUCAAUAUAACAAAAUAAUAUAUUAUUAUAACUGAAAUUUAAAAAUUUAAAAAAAUUGCAAAAAUUCAACAAAGUUUGAAGAUUUCGAAAUUGAUAUAUUCUAUAAUUUAUGAAUACGUGCAAAAAGUAAAGAAUUCAAAUAUAUAACAAUUUAAAAAUCUCAAAGAUGAAAAAAUAUAAUAAUUUAAAGAUACAAGAGUUUUAUCUAGCUUCAACAAAAUAACUUCAUUCCAAACUUUAUUAAUAUCCCUGGUCCUUCAAACUUUAAAUCAAGUGGUAUUUAAUUUCCAAGUGGAUUAAAGUCGAGAAUCUUUUUUCGUCUUUGAAUGAAUGUCUUCCUCUGAAUGGCGUUCCAUUUGGAACACGAUCAGAGACGAUCAACUAUAGACUUCUCGGUUCUAUAGAAAUUCGAUAUGGUUCUCUCUUUUUUCCUCGCGAAUGUUGAAAACGCGGCUUUUGCAGUCUACGAAAACAUUUUCUUCUGUCGCGAACGAAAGGAUCGUGAAACAUGGAAUUGCGCAUGGAAGGAGGAAUUCAGUAGUGCGGAAAAUACGUUCGUCUGCGAAGGAAAUUGCAGUCGGCAAACUUUCCUCGAUACACAUCGACCGCGGUUUCUAACGUAAAAAAUCUUCUUUCGAAGCUUAUACGCUCUUCAUCGAUAUUCUGUUUAAAAACGAAACACUGAUAAACUUUCGUCAUUAACCUAUUGCAAGUUGAAAUUUUUGAAUUCAUGAAUACUUAAAAAGCAAGAUUUGAAUGCAACUUUUAGUUUGUCUAACAAUAUAAAUUCUACGUUAUUCAGAAGUUUCUGAAGUUCGUAGUUUGUAGUAAUAGAAUAAAUAUAGAAUGUAUUUUAGAAGGAAAAUUGGAUCAAUCAAAACUAUUUUGAUGAAACUUUCUUGAAGGUAAUAAUAAUAUUUCAAUGGUAAGCUUUUUUUUUUGUUAUAAUUAAAAACCAUAAAAAUCUCCUAGAAUAUACAAGAAUCAUAUAUAGGUAAUUUUUAAAUCCCUAGUGAUUAAUGACAAAAAUAACUAAAUGAUUAAAUAGCACAUAUAACUAUGUAAAAACAAUUACAUAAAUAUAACUUGAAGAUUAAUUUUCUAUAAAUUUAUAUAGUAGUAAAUCAUAUUUUAUUACAUAGUAAAUCAUGUUUUAUAAAGCUUUUGAUCAUUAGCACAUCCAUUUAUGUAAUUUUCUCGAGAUUCUUAAACUUCGGGAAUUACUAAUCAAACGUGAAUGAUUCUUUCUAUAAAACGCGGCAAGGAUCUCCCUUGUACCCGAUUCCACGAUAUUCUUGCCAAGCGUAUUUUACGAUAUGAUAUUUAAUAUUAAGAUCGUUGGACCGUGGACGUUCCUGGAGUAUGAUAUUACAUACAGUUGUACUCGUAUGUCUCUGCAUGACUUCCAAUACGAGUUAAGCGAUCUCAUCCUCGUGAGAUCGGAAACAUCGAACGACUUGGAAUUUUACAGUUAUGCAUGUAUCAUUCGACAAACCGUUUCGCACGUUCUAUAAUUUCCUUGAUGACAUUACCGAUUCAUCUUUAUGAUUUGUCAUAAACGUUUAUUACUGUUAUCGUCGAUUAUCGAUAAUAAUUUCGCGUAAGAAAAAAAAAUAGAAAUUAUAUUAAACUCCGAAUCGAUUUUUUUUAUAAAUGUAAAUUUAACAUUAAAAAUAUUCGAGAAAUUAACAGAUCGCGUUCAUACAACAUUAUUCCUUCAAUGAAUCAAUGUAUGAAUCAUGUAGGGCUAAUUAUCGAUAAAAAUAAAAAUAUUCAAAAUUUUAAUUUAGAUAACAUUUCAAUAUCUUUUCUGUAUGAUCAUUAAAGAUUUUGUCCAAUAAUAAGUUAUAUAUUUUAUAUCUAAGCUUUUAAGAAUUCAAAAAUUACCCGCGGAUUUUAAAUUACGCGGUUUAUCGGCGCUCCAAAUGCGCGCGAUAUUUAAACAUCUAUCGUAUCCUAAAUAUAACAAACCUAAAUAUCAACAAUUGCGCUAAAUUUAAACAUCACCAAUUAUUAGAGAACAAUAAUUAAAACUUAUCAAAAGCUAUAAUAACAUAUCUUUUUUUGUGAUUUCAGAACAAUCAUCAUCAGUUUCGCCAUAAACGAAUCAACAAACUCACAAAAAGGAUAGAAAAAACACUGGAUGCUGGAAUCUAAUUCUGUACCUAACUCUCGGCCUUGAGCAUCUUCUACAUCCCUAACAUUCCACAUUCCUUUACUUUGAAACACUAAGCGCACGCGAUUCCUCGUUUCUUUUAUACUUCCUUCUCUGGCAGAAUCACGAUUUUCUGUCUUUCCAUUUUAUUCCACUAUUCUAUACGUUCGAUUAACCGGUUUCUUACGAUUUCAACGAAUUACGUCUAAAAUUCCAUGGAUACAAUCUUUCCGUUCCUAGUAACAUUCUUUCAUAUAAUCGUCUCCUUUUUACCUACUUUUUUUUACUUAUUUUUCCUUUUCUAUAUUUUCUUCGUUUCAUACCUUUUUGCAUAGUUCACUACCGAGUCUAUCGUUUCUUUCGUUCCUACACGAUUUAACGGGCAAUUUAGUGUCACGCUGAUUUCGCAUGACAUUCCGUUCGCAGCACGUGGGUCGCUUCGCGAUGACCCAACGCGUGUUAAACCGUUCCAGAAGAAGAUUAGAACGAACUGCUUCCGUCUUUUUUAAACAGCUUGCGCAAUUUUUAGAUUAAUUUUAGAUCGAAGAGGGAUCGAAACGCGACAGCUGUUGUUUGAAAGAACGAAAAGAACUCGAUUAAUCGUUCAAUUCCCUCAAAUUAAAAUGUAUUUCUUAACCUCUUUCGAAACCAUUUUUCAUAAAUGUAUAAAAAUGCAUAUAUAUAAAAAUAUUUUAUCAACUAAUAUAUAUAUGUUUUUGCUAUAAUUUGCAUUAUUAUUAAUUUCAAAUGUUAAUAAAAUGUUUCAUAUACGUGCACAUAUAUUAGAUAUUAAGUAAACAAAAUUCUCGAUUCUUAAUACUAUUUUCUUAUCCUUCCGUUAUCUAAUUAAAUUCGAUAAGAAAUAUUUAAAUUGGUUACAAAUAUUUAAAUUGAAUACAUAUCAAAUAACAAAAAAACUUGAUUAUGUUUUUCUCAGUUAGUAAAUAAUCUCGUCUUAUUUUAUAUAUUACAGAUUAAAUUACAACAAACAUGACUACAAUUAUGAUAGUAGAACCGAGAUGGAAAGAGCCACUGUAUAAACAGCGUGAAAGGAAUAACUGCUAGUGUAGGCCGUAUUUAAGUCUGUAUCAUAAUGGUGCGAUGGCGAAAGGAAUAUAGACAGGCGAAGAAUUAGAAUCACGGGCGGCGCGAAAUUCCAGUCGCCUUUUUUACGGUCCCCAGAUGGAAAUAGAUGGCGAGAGAAAUACAGAGAGAAUGAGAGAGAGAGCGCCAAGCUUCGACGAAGAGCGUGAGAAAACGACCUCAGAGUUCACCUCGUUCUAGGCGUCUUAAUGCCGCAUCCACAAUGAAUGAUUCACGUACAAAAAUAACAUAGCACUAUUUACAUUUCAUAAACGAACAUAUAUAUAUAUAUAUAGGAGAAAAAAAAACAAAGAAAAAAAAUGAUAAAAAAUAUUCGUGUGGAUGUUUCGAAAUUCCGAAAGUGAAAAUUUUUUAAAACUUCUAACUUCCGCUUUGAGCGGUAAUCGAGUUUUCUGUAUAUACACAUCCCUAUCCUUUUGUCGAGUAAUAGACUCCAUUGCAGGCUUAUUAGUGAUUAGAGAGUGAUUAGAGAGUAAUUCGCUGACUUCAAUUGUCAGCCGAACAAUUCUAUUCAGUACAAUCUACACGAGAGGUAGAGAGAUAGUUUUAGAGGCGAGUUGAGAAACGAUUAUAAUAUAUAUAUAUUGAAAGAACAAUAUCGUGUUUAAAAAAAGUGAAGAAAUUAGAUUCAAAGAAUGUUUGUCAACACGAUUUGAUAAAUAAAUGUAAAAAAAGAUUAAUAUAAGAAUGGAUGAAUUAAAAGGAUAUAUAGAUGUCAAUGUAAAAUAUGCUGAAAAGAAGCAAAACGAAAUAAAUGAUAUAUAAAAUUACUGCUAAAAAAAUAGAAAAAUUAUAAAUUAUUGAUAGUUCUAAUUUUUUCCUCCGUAUCAUGAUAAUGUCGUACGAAAUGAAAAAGUUAGAAAAGAAAUGGAAUUAAGGAAAACAGAAAAAGAAAGAGGAAGUAAGUAAUAUAUAUUAAUAAAUAAUUAAUCAGAGAUUAAAAUAGA